Malaya genurostris is the source of this 951-nucleotide RNA transcript. RefSeq lists it as uncharacterized. The transcript is spliced from 2 exons. NCBI's taxonomy places the organism in Eukaryota, Metazoa, Arthropoda, Insecta, Diptera, Culicidae. The record is from RefSeq and is a predicted model, not a curated record.
CCGAACUAUAUUCAAUCGAAAAACGAAUAUGUCGUUAUUCAGAAUAAAGGCGUUGGGAAAAGUCAUGAACAUGAUAAAAAUCAUUUCACUAUCACUCGGGAAAAAUCAGUACUGAUCAGUUUUCUGCAGUGCAGCAUGGCGGGAGAAGAGGGCAUUUAUGAAGUAGCAGCUGAGUUGCAGGAAGCCAACAAAAGUUUUUUAGCUUACGUACAUAAUCUGCGGAAGAAAAUUCAGGAUACCACUACAAUUUUAGAGAACCGUGAGGAAGAACGUUCAAAAAUUAGAGAGCAAAUGGAACAGCUUCAGAAGAAACUUGAUGAAUCUGUCAAAGAAGAUGAGCAAUAUAAAAAUAACCUAAAGAAAUACAAGUCCAUAGUUUCAGAGGCAGCAUUGGAGGGAGGAGAGGAAGCAAUAUAUAGAAAAUCCGCUGAUUUGCAGAAAUGCAACGAACAUACACUAAAAUACAUUCAUAAUAUAAGAAAAAACAUUCAAGCUUUCGCAACGGUCUCAGAAAAACGGAACGGAAGAACGCAGACAAAUCAAUGAGAAAAUCGCAGAACUUCAAAGACAGCUUGAAGUUAAGUUGACAAGGCGGAUGAACAGAACAAAAAAAAUAUAGAAAAACAUAAUAAUGAACUUUUAAAAUUAACCCAAGAGUAUGAACGAAUUGUUGAACAUAAGCUGCACCUCAUACUCGAGGACCAAAAAAAACUCGAGGCGCAAAUAAACCAGGAGGAGAAGGAGUAUCGGGCGCUGGAAGACGAUGUCUCCAAACUAGUAAAACAACGAGAUCAAAAGAGGAAAACAAUUAACAAACGUCGUCAAAGCUUCAAUGAGUUCAACAAAAAAAAUUAACAUAGAAAAACAACUUGAAGCAAUGGUGAAAAACCUGAAGCUGUUGAACAACACAAAUAUUGUUGUUCUGGACAAAUAAAACGAAAACAAAUAAUA